CGGGGUUCGACUCCCACGCUCUGCGAUCCACUUCCCCAGCGGGCCAGGCUGUGUGGAAACAGGCCGGGCCCUGGCUUCCCGCCGCUUGCCAAGGACUAACCGUCCCAGGUGUCUCCUGUUAAGCGGCCGCCGGAGCCUCCCUUCCACCCCGCGGAGAAUUCCCGAAGAGCCCGAGGCCCGGGCUGCUCGCUGCGGGCGGGGCCCACCUAACUUGGCCCUGUCACGCCCCUUCCCGGGCAUCCCAGGUGGCUCGGGGCGGGGAGGGGCCGCACCAACGCCAGCCAGCCGCCAGUGAGCUGCUAGCUGGGACCGGGACCGGGAGCAGGGAGCCGGCCGGACGCGCGAACAGGCCCGGCGAGCGCGGCGGAGCUGCGGCAUGCUCCCUCACGGCACAAGGUGUUCUCAAGGGAAGCACUCCCUGUCAUGAUAUCGGAUACAACGGCUCAACCUGAUAAAUCUGGACAUUCACAGAGGCUUUCAGGAUAAAGUGUCUAUAUCAAAUGGCUUCCAGGAUGGCCAGUGUCUCUUCUGAACAUCACGCAAGCAGGACAGGACAGGAGCUGGGAAUGCUGCAGCCAGGAGGACCCCAUCCAGAUCGUUACAAACAGCACCCCCAGAUCAUUUGAUCUUAGGGAAGAAAAGGGAAUCAAACCCUGUGCCCCUGACAGGAAAUGACAGGAUGAACAUUUUCCUGGCUAAAAGUUUGAAAUAUACACCUCUGCCACACACAAAAUUUUCACCCGUUAUUUCUUUCCUUAUACUUUCCACAUUUAAAAUGUACAAUUUCAUAGACUAAUCCAGUUUAUACACCCUAAAUGCAUGACACCCAUUUUUUCAGUUAUUCAGUCAGUAUUUACGGAGCACCUACCACGUGCCAGGCAUCGUUUCGUUCACUGCCAAAGCUUCAGUCCCUAAAACAAAGUUGCUGCUCUCAGAGUUCUGACUUCCCCAUGCUUUGCUAAUGGUUUCCUGCAUGAGCCCUCACAUACGACACCGUCCUUUUUUAAGAUAACAUUUUUUGAGGGUUUAUGCGUGUCAGGCACCGAACACCAUUAAUUCAUUUAAUUCUCACAGCACCCCUGUGAGGUGGUACGAUUUCUAUCCCCUCUUUAAGGAUGAAGAAUUUGAAAUUUAAAGACAGGAUAAGUAACUUACCCAAGGCUACAAAGCUAGUAAAUCACUGAUAGGAUUAAAAUGUAGGUCCAGUUCCAAACUCCUCCAUCUUAAUCCCUACGCUAAACUGCCUUCGAAACUUCUUAAAUAUAGUUGGCUAUG
Molecule: long non-coding RNA, 1275 nt
Organism: Globicephala melas (long-finned pilot whale)
Lineage: Eukaryota; Metazoa; Chordata; Mammalia; Artiodactyla; Delphinidae
Source: RefSeq, a predicted model, not a curated record